RNAcentral lists this ribosomal RNA (585 nucleotides) under uncultured bacterium. RNAcentral's name for it is "partial 16S ribosomal RNA". It matches the Rfam family "Bacterial small subunit ribosomal RNA", at positions 355 to 1375 of the family's 1533-position model. The record is from RNAcentral.
UGGGGAAUUUUGGACAAUGGGCGAAAGCCUGAUCCAGCAAUGCCGCGUGUGUGAAGAAGGCCUUCGGGUUGUAAAGCACUUUUGUCCGGAAAGAAAUCCUUGGCUCUAAUACAGUCGGGGGAUGACGGUACCGGAAGAAUAAGCACCGGCUAACUACGUGCCAGCAGCCGCGGUAAUACGUAGGGUGCAAGCGUUAAUCGGAAUUACUGGGCGUAAAGCGUGCGCAGGCGGUUUGCUAAGACCGAUGUGAAAUCCCCGGGCUCAACCUGGGAACUGCAUUGGUGACUGGCAGGCUAGAGUAUGGCAGAGGGGGGUAGAAUUCCACGUGUAGCAGUGAAAUGCGUAGAGAUGUGGAGGAAUACCGAUGGCGAAGGCAGCCCCCUGGGCCAAUACUGACGCUCAUGCACGAAAGCGUGGGGAGCAAACAGGAUUAGAUACCCUGGUAGUCCACGCCCUAAACGAUGUCAACUAGUUGUCGGGUCUUCAUUGACUUGGUAACGUAGCUAACGCGUGAAGUUGACCGCCUGGGGAGUACGGUCGCAAGAUUAAAACUUAAAUGAAUUGACGGGGUCAUAGCUGUUUCCU